Molecule: ribosomal RNA, 430 nt
Filed under: uncultured bacterium
Lineage: Bacteria
Description: bacterial SSU rRNA
Rfam family: Bacterial small subunit ribosomal RNA
Source: RNAcentral
UGGGGAAUAUUGCGCAAUGGGGGAAACCCUGACGCAGCAACGCCGCGUGAGUGAGGAAGGUCUUCGGAUUGUAAAGCUCUGUCACUGUGGAAAAAUGGUUCUUGGUCUAAUAGGCCAGGAAAGUGACGGUACACAGAGAGGAAGCACCGGCUAACUUCGUGCCAGCAGCCGCGGUAAUACGAAGGGUGCAAGCGUUGUUCGGAUUUAUUGGGCGUAAAGCGCGCGCAGGCGGGCUAUUAAGCCAGAUGUGAAAUCUCGGGGCUCAACCCCGAAACUGCGUCUGGAACUGGUAGUCUAGAGUACUGGAGGGGAUAGGGGAAUUUCGCAUGUAGGGGUAAAAUCCGUAGAGAUGCGAAGGAACACCAGCGGGGAAACCGCCUAUCUGGACAGUCACUGACGCUGAGGCGCGAAAGCGUGGGGAUCAAACAGG